GUGCUCUUCCUAUCUGGGAGACCAUGGGCCCAUAAACAUCCUUCCAUUGUUUGCAUUGGCCUUAGCCUGUCUCUGCCCCAUCUUUUUUCCCUGUGUCUGUGGAGGCCCUG
This is a long non-coding RNA of Aethalodelphis obliquidens (Pacific white-sided dolphin), 110 nucleotides long. RefSeq lists it as uncharacterized. The record is from RefSeq and is a predicted model, not a curated record. The transcript is spliced from 3 exons. NCBI's taxonomy places the organism in Eukaryota, Metazoa, Chordata, Mammalia, Artiodactyla, Delphinidae.